GAUGAACGCUGGCGGCGUGCCUAAUACAUGCAAGUCGAGCGAACAGACGAGGAGCUUGCUCCUCUGACGUUAGCGGCGGACGGUGAGUAACACGUGGAUAACCUACCUAUAAGACUGGGAUAACUUCGGGAAACCGGAGCUAAUACCGGAUAAUAUAUUGAACCGCAUGGUUCAAUAGUGAAAGACGGUUUUGCCGUUACCUAUAGAUGGAUCCGCGCCGCAUUAGCUAGUUGGUAAGGUAACGGCUUACCAAGGCAACGAUGCGUAGCCGACCUGAGAGGGUGAUCGGCCACACUGGAACUGAGACACGGUCCAGACUCCUACGGGAGGCAGCAGUAGGGAAUCUUCCGCAAUGGGCGAAAGCCUGACGGAGCAACGCCGCGUGAGUGAUGAAGGUCUUCGGAUCGUAAAACUCUGUUAUUAGGGAAGAACAAAUGUGUAAGUAACUAUGCACGUCUUGACGGUACCUAAUCAGAAAGCCACGGCUAACUACGUG
RNAcentral lists this ribosomal RNA (496 nucleotides) under uncultured bacterium. RNAcentral's name for it is "partial 16S ribosomal RNA". It matches the Rfam family "Bacterial small subunit ribosomal RNA", at positions 28 to 507 of the family's 1533-position model. The record is from RNAcentral.